UACGUAGGGUGCAAGCGUUGUCCGGAAUUAUUGGGCGUAAAGAGCUCGUAGGCGGUCUGUCGCGUCGGCUGUGAAAACCUGAGGCUCAACCUCGGGCCUGCAGUCGAUACGGGCAGACUAGAGUUCGGUAGGGGAGACUGGAAUUCCUGGUGUAGCGGUGAAAUGCGCAGAUAUCAGGAGGAACACCGGUGGCGAAGGCGGGUCUCUGGGCCGAAACUGACGCUGAGGAGCGAAAGCGUGGGGAGCGAACAGG
This 253-nucleotide ribosomal RNA is filed under the name uncultured bacterium. RNAcentral describes it as "partial 16S ribosomal RNA". It matches the Rfam family "Bacterial small subunit ribosomal RNA", at positions 524 to 776 of the family's 1533-position model. The record is from RNAcentral.